CAAUAGCGUAUAUUAAAGUUGUUGCAGUUAAAAAGCUCGUAGUUGGAUUUCUGGUAGGAGUGACCGUUCCGAACUUGAUUGUUCGUGUAUUGUGUUUUCUCCAGCCAUCCUUGUGGAGAGCUUUUCUUGCAUUAAUUUGUAGGGAUUGGGACCCGCAUCGUUUACUGUGAAAAAAUUAGAGUGUUUAAAGCAGGCAAUCGCUUGAAUACAUUAGCAUGGAAUAAUAAGAUAGGACUUUGGUACUAUUUUGUUGGUUUGCAUACCAAAUUAAUGAUCAACAGGAACAGUUUGAGGAUAUUCGUAUGAACAUGUCAGAGGUGAAAUUCUUGGAUUUUGAUCAGACGAACUACUGCGAAAGCAUUUAUCAAGGAUGUUUUCAUUAA
Molecule: ribosomal RNA, 383 nt
Filed under: uncultured eukaryote
Lineage: Eukaryota
Description: partial 18S ribosomal RNA
Rfam family: Eukaryotic small subunit ribosomal RNA
Source: RNAcentral